This 434-nucleotide ribosomal RNA is filed under the name uncultured bacterium. Its description in RNAcentral is "partial 16S ribosomal RNA". It matches the Rfam family "Bacterial small subunit ribosomal RNA", at positions 29 to 507 of the family's 1533-position model. The record is from RNAcentral.
AGCGAACGCUGGCGGCAGGCCUAAUACAUGCAAGUCGAACGAACCUUCCGGGGUUAGUGGCGGCUGGGUGUGUAACCCGUGGGAACGUGCCUAUAGGUUUGGCCUAACUAAGGGACACUUGUGAUAAUACGGAAUGUGAGCUAAGGGGGAAAGAUUAAUCGAAUUUAGAGCGGCCGGCGUCGGAUUAGCUAGUUGGUUGAGGUAAUGGCUCAUCAAGGCGACAUUCAGUAGCUGGUCAGAGAGAAUGAUCCGCCACAUCUGGACUGAGACACGGCCGAAACUCCUACGGGAGGCAGCAGUGGGGAAUCGUGCACAAUGGGCGAAAGCCUGACGCACCCAGGCCGCGUGAAUGAUGAAAGUCGGAGGAAUGAAAAAUUCUUUCAACGGUGACGGUAAUGACGGUACCCAGAGAAGAAGCCCCGGCUAACUACGUG